Molecule: unclassified non-coding RNA, 23 nt
Filed under: Mus musculus (house mouse)
Lineage: Eukaryota; Metazoa; Chordata; Mammalia; Rodentia; Muridae
Description: oocyte_clustered_small_RNA3991
Source: RNAcentral
UUAUAGCCACGGUGUACCGGAAA